This 341-nucleotide ribosomal RNA is filed under the name Chiasmocleis quilombola. Its description in RNAcentral is "partial 16S ribosomal RNA". It matches the Rfam family "Bacterial large subunit ribosomal RNA", at positions 2006 to 2514 of the family's 2925-position model. Lineage: Eukaryota; Metazoa; Chordata; Amphibia; Anura; Microhylidae. The record is from RNAcentral.
GAGGAUUACACUGUCUCCCCCCCUAAAUCAAUGAAACUGAUCCCCCCGUGAAGAAGCGGGGAUAAAUAUAUAAGACGAGAAGACCCUAUGGAGCUUUAAACUAAACACCACUUACCUUCAACUACUCCCUUACAAACAGGUAAAGAUCGUGUGUGUUUUCAGUUGGGGUGACUGCGGAGCAAAAUAAAACCUCCACGAUGAAAUAAUCCUCUAAUCUAAGAACAACAUUUCAAAGAAUCAACAAAUUGACAUAAAUUGACCCAAAUAUUAAUUUGAUCAACGAACCAAGUUACCCUAGGGAUAACAGCGCAAUCCAUUUCAAGAGCUCAUAUCGACAAAUG